GUUUGAGGAGCAUUGCUUCUCAUACAGUAAGGUUUCCCAACAGUGAUGUCACAAGAUUGACCGCAUUGAUCACAGUAAGACCAAAAUGAUAGUUAAGCUUUUAAGGAAGUUUGGUUUUCUCUGAGAAUGAGAAUUGACUUAGAAAACAUAUAUAAUUUGAAAUUAUUUCUUUUGCUAGCCAGUUGAAUGUUAACAUUUUAAAUGAAUCAUAUCUUAUACUUCUAGCUAUUUAAAUACUUUUAAAAUAUUACUUUAAAGGAUUUAAAAAACAUUUAAAAUGAAAAUUACUUUUAAUUUACAACUGAAAUUAUAGGCCUAAAUAUACUAAAUUAUUUCAGUGUGAGUUAAAUUCUGAACAUCAUCUUUUUUGAGUUUUUAUUUUUACCAGAAAAUGACAGAAAGGUUAAGGUGAUUCCACAUUAGGAAAUAUAUAUAAAAGUAAAUUAC
RNAcentral lists this small RNA (447 nucleotides) under Pongo abelii (Sumatran orangutan). Its description in RNAcentral is "retained intron". The record is from RNAcentral. Lineage: Eukaryota; Metazoa; Chordata; Mammalia; Primates; Hominidae.